GCUGAAGCCACUGCCCUUGAGAACCCUCUCGAGGAGUCUGGGCUCAUGAAGAUGCCAGAAUAAGUGGCAGGUAUAUCCUGAGUGAAUGUGAGAUUUUUACUCUGUGAAUUUCCUGUGAGAAGUGUAAGAAGAAAAAGAGCAAAGAUAAGAAGAGAAAAAGAGAAGAAGAUGAAGAAACCCAGCUUGAUAUGUUGGUGAGUCAGUUUUCAGUGCUUUAUUCUGAAAAAAGUUAACAUUUCUUGAGAUCUCAUUGAAAACAUUUUCCUAGUUAGAAAUUUAUGAUGUAUUCAUAUUUGUCUUAAA
This 303-nucleotide long non-coding RNA is filed under the name Gorilla gorilla gorilla (western lowland gorilla). RNAcentral's name for it is "lncRNA (ENSGGOG00000044512.1)". Lineage: Eukaryota; Metazoa; Chordata; Mammalia; Primates; Hominidae. The record is from RNAcentral.